This 490-nucleotide ribosomal RNA is filed under the name uncultured bacterium. Its description in RNAcentral is "partial 16S ribosomal RNA". It matches the Rfam family "Bacterial small subunit ribosomal RNA", at positions 29 to 505 of the family's 1533-position model. The record is from RNAcentral.
AGUGAACGCUGGCGGUAGGCCUAACACAUGCAAGUCGAACGGCAGCACAGUAAGAGCUUGCUCUUACGGGUGGCGAGUGGCGGACGGGUGAGGAAUACAUCGGAAUCUACUUUUUCGUGGGGGAUAACGUAGGGAAACUUACGCUAAUACCGCAUACGACCUACGGGUGAAAGCAGGGGAUCUUCGGACCUUGCGCGAUUGAAUGAGCCGAUGUCGGAUUAGCUAGUUGGCGGGGUAAAGGCCCACCAAGGCGACGAUCCGUAGCUGGUCUGAGAGGAUGAUCAGCCACACUGGAACUGAGACACGGUCCAGACUCCUACGGGAGGCAGCAGUGGGGAAUAUUGGACAAGGGGCGCAAGCCUGAUCCAGCCAUACCGCGUGGGUGAAGAAGGCCUUCGGGUUGUAAAGCCCUUUUGUUGGGAAAGAAAGGCAGCAGGUUAAUACCCCGCUGUUCUGACGGUACCCAAAGAAUAGGCACCGGCUAACUUCG